Molecule: small RNA, 66 nt
Filed under: Flavobacterium aquatile LMG 4008 = ATCC 11947
Lineage: Bacteria; Pseudomonadati; Bacteroidota; Flavobacteriia; Flavobacteriales; Flavobacteriaceae
Description: Flavobacterium aquatile LMG 4008 Flavo-1 RNA
Rfam family: Flavo-1 RNA
Source: Rfam by way of RNAcentral
AUCUAGCCCUGAUAGUAGUGGCAUCUCGUCUUUUGGGACGAGAUAGAACGGAUAGCAGGAAUAGGG